AUUGAACGCUGGCGGCAUGCCUUACACAUGCAAGUCGAACGGCAGCGGACCUUCGGGUGCCGGCGAGUGGCGAACGGGUGAGUAAUAUAUCGGAACGUACCUUUCAGUGGGGGAUAACGUAGCGAAAGUUACGCUAAUACCGCAUAUUCUGUGAGCAGGAAAGCAGGGGAUCGCAAGACCUUGCGCUGAUUGAGCGGCCGAUAUCAGAUUAGCUAGUUGGUGAGGUAAAGGCUCACCAAGGCGACGAUCUGUAGCGGGUCUGAGAGGAUGAUCCGCCACACUGGAACUGAGACACGGUCCAGACUCCUACGGGAGGCAGCAGUGGGGAAUUUUGGACAAUGGGCGCAAGCCUGAUCCAGCCAUGCCGCGUGAGUGAAGAAGGCCUCGGUUGUAAGUACUACUUCGUCGGACGGAGAGUCGC
Molecule: ribosomal RNA, 421 nt
Filed under: uncultured bacterium
Lineage: Bacteria
Description: bacterial SSU rRNA
Rfam family: Bacterial small subunit ribosomal RNA
Source: RNAcentral